GACGAACGCUGGCGCGGUGCCUAAUACAUGCAAUUUGACCGCGAAGGGUGGGUCCUGGUACCACUUGGUGGACAGGCGAAGGGGGGAGUAAGCCGUGGGAACUCUGCCUUUAAGGGGGGGCCAACAUUGGGAAACGAAUGCAAAUACGGCUUAAAACCUUUAACCACAGUUUUUAAGUUGAAAAGAGCCAAUGGCAUCAUCAAAAGUUAAACCCCCUUUGUAUUAGCUAGUUGGUGAGGUAAAGGCUCACCAAGGCGAUGAUACAUAGCCAACCGGAGAGGGUGAUCGGCCACAUUGGGACUGAGACACGGCCCAAACUCCUACGGGAGGCAGCAGUAGGGAAUCUUCGGCAAUGGACGAAAGUCUGACCGAGCAACGCCGCGUGAGUGAAGAAGGUUUUCGGAUCGUAAAACUCUGUUGGUAGAGAAGGACGUUGGUGAGAGUGGAAAGCUCAUCAAGUGACGGUAACUACCCAGAAAGGGACGGCUAACUACGUG
Molecule: ribosomal RNA, 497 nt
Filed under: uncultured bacterium
Lineage: Bacteria
Description: partial 16S ribosomal RNA
Rfam family: Bacterial small subunit ribosomal RNA
Source: RNAcentral